This 491-nucleotide ribosomal RNA is filed under the name uncultured bacterium. Its description in RNAcentral is "partial 16S ribosomal RNA". It matches the Rfam family "Bacterial small subunit ribosomal RNA", at positions 29 to 506 of the family's 1533-position model. The record is from RNAcentral.
AGUGAACGCUGGCGGUAGGCCUAACACAUGCAAGUCGAACGGCAGCACAGUAAGAGCUUGCUCUUACGGGUGGCGAGUGGCGGACGGGUGAGGAAUACAUCGGAAUCUACUUUUUCGUGGGGGAUAACGUAGGGAAACUUACGCUAAUACCGCAUACGACCUACGGGUGAAAGCAGGGGAUCUUCGGACCUUGCGCGAUUGAAUGAGCCGAUGUCGGAUUAGCUAGUUGGCGGGGUAAAGGCCCACCAAGGCGACGAUCCGUAGCUGGUCUGAGAGGAUGAUCCGCCACACGGGAACUGAGACACGGUCCCGACUCCUACGGGAGGCAGCAGUGGGGAAUAUUGGACAAUGGGCGCAAGCCUGAUCCAGCCAUACCGCGUGGGUGAAGAAGGCCUUCGGGUUGUAAAGCCCUUUUGUUGGGAAAGAAAAGCAGCAGGUUAAUACCCCGCUGUUCUGACGGUACCCAAAGAAUAAGCACCGGCUAACUUCGU